RNAcentral lists this long non-coding RNA (1494 nucleotides) under Chlamydomonas reinhardtii. Its description in RNAcentral is "long non-coding RNA (CREI_LNC001087)". The record is from RNAcentral. Lineage: Eukaryota; Viridiplantae; Chlorophyta; Chlorophyceae; Chlamydomonadales; Chlamydomonadaceae.
AUUAAUCCCCCUUUCAACACCGCACAUGGCAAGACAAGCAAGUAUCAAGUAUGCGGCCAACCAAGUUUAAGUGUUGCAUGGGGCACUGCUUCCAAACUCUUUGCGGCACUUCCUUCUUUGCCAGUUCAAUUUAUAUAUACUGUAUCCUUCUAUGCAUAUCACACAUUACUAAAGACUACAGACACGUCAAGGUGUCAGUAUGUAGAGACCCGCAAACAGUUCUCUGCCACUCGGCAGAGGACGCCCUCGCCCUGCUAUGUUUGCUUUUAAGGCCCAGUCUCCACUAGUAACGCUAUUAGGCGCACAGGUGCGCCUUGCAGCGGCCAUAACGCUGGGUUGUUGCAGGGGUGGUGACGUCGUUGACCGAGCGCAAUAUUCAUCGCCCACCUUCAAUUCGUUCAGGUUCAGGCUCAACAAAAGCAUUUCAAAAGGCUACAGAGCCAUCACGCGUGGCGCAGGUGAGGCGGGGGUACCAUCCGCGCGACUUGGUUGCUAGCUUCCGAGGCUGUCAGCUGAGAGCAUGCGCAUGCUAAGGUGUCUGUAUAAUGGCACCGUACAAGCCUGUCAUCAGUUCAUGCUCAGUUCUCAGUCCUGGUACCCUCCCGCCCUCCCUCAGGACUCCGGCCGCACGAAGGGCCACCCGUGCGGACCACCCCUGGGUGGGCUAGACGUGGCGCACUCACACGUUAACCCCAACAGGCAAGUCUAUGUCCAGAUAAUAUUUCGCAAUUGCUGAAGUAAGCACUGCAUGAGUAGCGUGUCUGCAGCUGAACAUGGGGGGAAAGGUACCUUGCGUCUUACCCUCUGAUAUGCCUGGUUUUGUGGUUUGGUUCCUGACCGAAUCGUCCUGAACACUAUGCAGGCUUACGAAGGGCAGCACGGGUGUGGCUAGCUGUGGACUGGAGCGCUGGCACCGGCAGCAUGCGGAGUCUGCGGUGGCACUGUGCAGCAGGUCGGACGUUGUGGUUGAGGUCGUUGUGUGUUUGGCAAGACUUAGUAUGGGUCCACCUGUGCCGCUUAUGCCUUGGCGGGUGGCGUUUGGUUGUUCCGCGGAAGUGGCUACAUGCACAUCUGUGGCUAGCUACGGACUGGAGUGCCGGCACCGGCAGCAUGCAGAGUCUGCGGUAGCACUGUGCAGCAGGUCGGACGUUGUGGUUGUCGUUGUGUGUUUGGCAAGACUUUAGUAUGGGCACACCUCUGCCGCUUAUGCCUUGGCGGGUGGCAUUUGGUUGUUACCCGGAAGCGGCUACAUACGCAUCUGUAUUCAUGUUACGGUAGGGCACGUUCGGUGAGCGAGGAGGUCGAUGGGUGACAGGGCAUGUGGAGCGGGCAGACUUCCUUUCCAGGGUGUGCGAUGGCGGACUAAAAGCGUAAGGAGAGGCUGGUGGAUGGAGGCGGACUCACGCCUUCAGAGAAACAGGCCGAAUCCUCGUUUACACUGGACGCGCGGCACGUGCCGUUGCAUGAACUGUAACACAAAUGAGCAGUUGAGGG